Molecule: ribosomal RNA, 600 nt
Filed under: uncultured Actinomycetes bacterium
Lineage: Bacteria; Bacillati; Actinomycetota; Actinomycetes
Description: bacterial SSU rRNA
Rfam family: Bacterial small subunit ribosomal RNA
Source: RNAcentral
UUCGCGGCCUAUCAGCUUGUUGGUGAGGUAGUGGCUCACCAAGGCGACGACGGGUAGCCGGUUUGAGAGGGCGACCGGCCACACUGGGACUGAGACACGGCCCAGACUCCUACGGGAGGCAGCAGUGGGGAAUAUUGCACAAUGGGCGAAAGCCUGAUGCAGCGACGCCGCGUGAGGGAUGACGGCCUUCGGGUUGUAAACCUCUUUCAGCAGGGAAGAAGCGAAAGUGACGGUACCUGCAGAAGAAGCGCCGGCUAACUACGUGCCAGCAGCCGCGGUAAUACGUAGGGCGCAAGCGUUGUCCGGAAUUAUUGGGCGUAAAGAGCUCGUAGGCGGCUUGUCACGUCGGUUGUGAAAGCCCGGGGCUUAACCCCGGGUCUGCAGUCGAUACGGGCAGGCUAGAGUUCGGUAGGGGAGAUCGGAAUUCCUGGUGUAGCGGUGAAAUGCGCAGAUAUCAGGAGGAACACCGGUGGCGAAGGCGGAUCUCUGGGCCGAUACUGACGCUGAGGAGCGAAAGCGUGGGGAGCGAACAGGAUUAGAUACCCUGGUAGUCCACGCCGUAAACGGUGGGCACUAGGUGUGGGCAACAUUCCACGUUGU